RNAcentral lists this long non-coding RNA (522 nucleotides) under Homo sapiens (human). RNAcentral describes it as "HSALNT0071039". The record is from RNAcentral. Lineage: Eukaryota; Metazoa; Chordata; Mammalia; Primates; Hominidae.
UAAUAAUCCACCAUAAGCUCAGUGGCUGAAAACAAAAAUGAUUAUAAAUAUGCUCACUUACUCUGUGGGUCAAGAAUUCUCAAAACAUAUAGUGGUCUUCGCUUUUCUCUGACCCACAGUGAGACUUCAGUUAAGCAUGAUUCCAAAGCUUGAGAUGACUCACUGACUGAGAACUGGAAUCAUCUAAAGGCUCCUGCAUUUGUGUAGAUUGCAGCUGACUGGGACCUUAGCUGGGACUUCUGGUUGGAAGUCAACAACACUGGCUGUCUGUGUGGAUGCUUGGACUUCCUCAGAGCAUGGCGACUGGAUUCCAAGAAGAUGGGUCUGGCUCUGUCACCCAGGCUGGAGUGCAGUGGCACAAUCACAGCUCACUCCAGCCUUGAACUCCUGGACUCAAGUGAUCCCCUUGCUUCAGCCUCACAAAUAGCUGGGACUACUGGAGUACACCACAACUCCCAGAUAAUUUUUAAAAUGAUCAGCUACGUCCAACCUUCAAACGUCCAGUAAAAUUAAAACUGAGAA